GACGAACGCUGGCGGCGUGCUUAACACAUGCAGGUCGAACGAUGAAGCCUAGCUUGCUAGGUGGAUUAGUGGCGAACGGGUGAGUAAUACGUGAGUAACCUACCUUUAACUCUGGGAUAAGCCCGGGAAACUGGGUCUAAUACCGGAUACGACCAAUCUCCGCAUGGGGUGUUGGUGGAAAGCGUUAUGUAGUGGUUAUAGAUGGGCUCACGGCCUAUCAGCUUGUUGGUGAGGUAACGGCUCACCAAGGCGACGACGGGUAGCCGGCCUGAGAGGGUGACCGGCCACACUGGGACUGAGACACGGCCCAGACUCCUACGGGAGGCAGCAGUGGGGAAUAUUGCACAAUGGGCGCAAGCCUGAUGCAGCGACGCCGCGUGAGGGAUGACGGCCUUCGGGUUGUAAACCUCUGUUAGCAGGGAAGAAGAGAGAUUGACGGUACCUGCAGAGAAAGCGCCGGCUAACUACGUG
Molecule: ribosomal RNA, 471 nt
Filed under: uncultured bacterium
Lineage: Bacteria
Description: partial 16S ribosomal RNA
Rfam family: Bacterial small subunit ribosomal RNA
Source: RNAcentral